RNAcentral lists this long non-coding RNA (403 nucleotides) under Salvia miltiorrhiza (redroot sage). RNAcentral's name for it is "long non-coding RNA (SMIL_LNC001322)". The record is from RNAcentral. Lineage: Eukaryota; Viridiplantae; Streptophyta; Magnoliopsida; Lamiales; Lamiaceae.
UUGACAUCCCUAUGUGUGAGUGGUUUUUCAUUGGGCUGCAUUUAGUAACCCGCUUUUACAGGGCCCAUGAUAAGAGGCCCAUUAUGUAAUCAGUAUUUUGAAACGGGAAAGUAACAUUCUUGGGCCAGAUAUUUCAUGCCAAUUUAUAUAACUCUUUUUUUUAUUUUUUAUUUUUUUUAUUUUUUUUAUGUGUGGUGUAGUGUAACCCCAAAUUCUAAUUUUUUAUCAAUUGAGUUGCACUUCGUUAUUAUUUAUUUAUUUUAGCUAAUGUAUUUUUUUGAUAAAUUAAAAAUUAAAUAAAUAAAUUUGAAAUCAUAUUAUAGUGGACUCGAAUUCAAAAUCUUUAGUCCUAAACAUUAAUCACUUUAUCAUUAGGCCAACAAACACUACUAUAGCUCAUAUU